GGAACGAGUGAUAUCGUAUAGCGAUUCGUCCAGGGUAGGUGUAAAUAAUUGGUUUUGAAGAAAAAAGGGUGAGAAAAGAAUAGGAAUCUGCAUGGUAGUGGGGGAUAACGCUCGGAAACGGACGCUAAUACCGCAUACGUCCUACGGGAGAAAGCAGGGGACCUUCGGGCCUUGCGCUAUCAGAUGAGCCUAGGUCGGAUUAGCUAGUUGGUGAGGUAAUGGCUCACCAAGGCGACGAUCCGUAACUGGUCUGAGAGGAUGAUCAGUCACACUGGAACUGAGACACGGUCCAGACUCCUACGGGAGGCAGCAGUGGGGAAUAUUGGACAAUGGGCGAAAGCCUGAUCCAGCCAUGCCGCGUGUGUGAAGAAGGUCUUCGGAUUGUAAAGCACUUUAAGUUGGGAGGAAGGGCAUUAACCUAAUACGUUGGUGUCUUGACGUUACCGACAGAAUAAGCACCGGCUACCUCUGUGCCAGCAGCCGCGGAAAUACAGAGGGUGCAAGCGUUUUUCGGAAUUACUGGGAGUAAAGCGCGCGUACGUGGUUCUUUAAGUGG
RNAcentral lists this ribosomal RNA (556 nucleotides) under Pseudomonas thivervalensis. Its description in RNAcentral is "bacterial SSU rRNA". It matches the Rfam family "Bacterial small subunit ribosomal RNA", at positions 41 to 590 of the family's 1533-position model. Lineage: Bacteria; Pseudomonadati; Pseudomonadota; Gammaproteobacteria; Pseudomonadales; Pseudomonadaceae. The record is from RNAcentral.